Molecule: long non-coding RNA, 1196 nt
Organism: Lepus europaeus (European hare)
Lineage: Eukaryota; Metazoa; Chordata; Mammalia; Lagomorpha; Leporidae
Exons: 4
Source: RefSeq, a predicted model, not a curated record
GGGUGCACGUGGGAGGUGGUUCUGGCCAGUGCGGCCUCACGCGGAUUCUCCUAGGGGACCCACCAGGAAGAUUCCACUUGCUGAGGAAAGGAGAGAGACCCGCGGCAGGAACCCCGCCCUGUUUGCUUUUAAUGCUCUCGGAGGAAGCUGUGAUGCCUACCGCUGCAGCAGCCAUCCUGUGACCACGAGGGACAAGACUGAAGGAAGGAGAGACCCUAGGUGCUUGAUGACACCCUUGAACCACUAGCCAACUCUGGGACCACCACGGCGCCACACUGCUGUUGUAAGAGUUUUUACCAGGCUGAAUGCAGUUCAUAGAUACAAUUCUAAGAAUACUCUCCCUCUCACCCGCCCUGGAGUUCUUUCUUUGCACAAGUUCUGCUGUGAGGCACUGGAAACAAUCACUGGCCUCAAGGAAAACAAAUACCGGUGCAUUAGCAGGGAGCUGGAUCUGAAGCGGAGCAGCUGGGACUAGAACUGGUGCCCAUUCGGGAUGCGGACCUCGGCUUUAACCUCCUGAGCCACAGCGUCGGACCCACGUGUGGUCUUUCGAGGCAAAUUCAUGGAUAAGCCAAAGCAACGCUGGCUGUGAACCAACACCCUUCCCCUGCCCCCAUCACACGCGACCUGGUCCACAACACAGAAACACAUGGAAGCAGAGCAGUCUGCCCGAAGUGCAGCACGGUGCUCCCACCGCAUGCCACGGCCGCCCAGGGCACCUGUGCCAUGCACCCACCACCUAACUCUAUCUUUGCUGUCUCCUCCCACUGAGUGACUGGUGAGCCCUGCUAUGGUGUGGACAGGAAAACUCAUACCAAUGUUUAAACCCCAAAGUCUAGGUGAACAGGCCAUGGAUUAAUGCCAAUGGUUGAUGGGUUUAGGGUGGGUACUUGAUCUAAUGAUGGCACCUGAGGGGGCCUGGCGGGCAGCAUUUAGGUCAUGGGGGCAUUUAGGUUUAGGAAGGGGGCUCUCCCGAGGGGCUGGUUAUUUAAGCUGAGUGUGGCCCAGCUUCUCUCUGCUUCCUGGCUCACCGUGUGGUUGCUAUCCUGCACCUGCUCUUCCAUGGCCAGUGGCACCACACGCCAUCUAACAGGGCCAUUGGUCCUGAACUGUGAACCUCCAAAAUGUAAGCCGGAAUAAACCUUGUCCAUCUCAAGAGGCUCCUCCUCAGCCUUUUCAGUUAACAUUAAGGAGAA